RNAcentral lists this unclassified non-coding RNA (756 nucleotides) under Saccharomyces cerevisiae (brewer's yeast). RNAcentral describes it as "partial contains ITS1, 5.8S rRNA and ITS2". The stretch from base 365 to 518 matches the Rfam family "5.8S ribosomal RNA". Lineage: Eukaryota; Fungi; Ascomycota; Saccharomycetes; Saccharomycetales; Saccharomycetaceae. The record is from RNAcentral.
AAGAAAUUUAAUAAUUUUGAAAAUGGAUUUUUUUUGUUUUGGCAAGAGCAUGAGAGCUUUUACUGGGCAAGAAGACAAGAGAUGGAGAGUCCAGCCGGGCCUGCGCUUAAGUGCGCGGUCUUGCUAGGCUUGUAAGUUUCUUUCUUGCUAUUCCAAACGGUGAGAGAUUUCUGUGCUUUUGUUAUAGGACAAUUAAAACCGUUUCAAUACAACACACUGUGGAGUUUUCAUAUCUUUGCAACUUUUUCUUUGGGCAUUCGAGCAAUCGGGGCCCAGAGGUAACAAACACAAACAAUUUUAUUUAUUCAUUAAAUUUUUGUCAAAAAACAAGAAUUUUCGUAACUGGAAAUUUUAAAAUAUUAAAAACUUUCAACAACGGAUCUCUUGGUUCUCGCAUCGAUGAAGAACGCAGCGAAAUGCGAUACGUAAUGUGAAUUGCAGAAUUCCGUGAAUCAUCGAAUCUUUGAACGCACAUUGCGCCCCUUGGUAUUCCAGGGGGCAUGCCUGUUUGAGCGUCAUUUCCUUCUCAAACAUUCUGUUUGGUAGUGAGUGAUACUCUUUGGAGUUAACUUGAAAUUGCUGGCCUUUUCAUUGGAUGUUUUUUUUUUCCAAAGAGAGGUUUCUCUGCGUGCUUGAGGUAUAAUGCAAGUACGGUCGUUUUAGGUUUUACCAACUGCGGCUAAUCUUUUUUAUACUGAGCGUAUUGGAACGUUAUCGAUAAGAAGAGAGCGUCUAGGCGAACAAUGUUCUUAAAGU